GUGACCGCGCUGACACUAGGUGGGGCCAUCGGCCAGGGGGACCGAGCCGGGACGGGGAGAGGAGCCCGGGGUCACAGCGUCGCGUUCUCUCCUGUCCCCGUCCCAAAUGAAAUAUCGCUCCUUAGCCCUUAUAAAUCCACCCAGUAUUCGGCUGAAACAGCGCCAGACUGCCUUAUUUUAUGUGAAGACGAGGCCAUGUUUUGAUGUCUAGGUCAUGUUGUGCAAGACAGCGUUUACUUUAGGUCUCAAAGUGUGUAAAAACACUGGAGGUGUGGUGCUGUGAAGGAGGUGAGGAACCAGACUAGAGCCACUACCAGCAGGAUGGUGGUGAUUGUACUGCCUGUUGCCACACCCAACACCACAGUUAUUUCUCCUAUUGCUAGCCCAAUGGGACAACAGAAAAAGUGGAAGUCUGUUAAAACAGCACAGAGCAAUGGUGGCCAAAUCAGGAAAUAUAUGAAUGUCAGACAAUAAUUUGACAGGAAGAGGAGUGAGGCAUGAGCACAGCCAGACAGGGAGACCAGCCCCUUUCACCUCCUGACUCCUGGUAUAGAUCACACUGUUCCCUUUUCAAGGCAAUGGCAAUGUGGGCAUAGACUCUGAUAGCUCAGGCUUAGGCAUGGGAAAGCAUCACUCCCCAGAAGCCAUUGAAGGUCAGAAAUUAUCCCUUCCCUCCUCCCUCUCUGAUUAUGUGUUUCAAAGUUCUGCAAAACAACCCCAAAUCCAGCCCAAUUCCCACUCGUUCACAAGGCCUGCAGUGAUUGAUGCCUGUAUUGGGUUCAUCCAACAUAGGUGAGAAUAGCAGAAGGAGGUAUGUGUGAGUGAGCAGAACUAAUCCCCUCUUUCUUUGAAGCCUUAGAAAUAUUAUUACCUACUCUUCAUUGUAUUUAUAUUUUGGGGAAACAUUCAAAACAAAUUAACUUCUCCCCCACAACCCUUUGUCCCUGAUAAUUAACUAUUUGUCAAUAGAGAUAAAAGAAGAAAAAUGCAUGUGGCCAAAUGUUCCUUUUGUUUAUACCUCUGCAGACUAUUAGAAAAAAAAAAGCAACUACGGGAGAAAGAGCAAGGAAGAAAAUUCAUAACUUACACAUAGUUGACCAUAACUUUACUAGGGACUAAGCCACAUAGUCUAAAAUGUAAUAGCUGGCCUGUGAGUUGGGCCAAAUCUAUGAAGGGUAUUAAAGUUUCCUGAAAAGGGUUUUGCAGUAAGUGUGGAGCCAUGCAGAAUAAUUUUCUGUAGUUUAGGAGCUGUUCUUCUUGAGAAAAUGUUGCUUUUCAAUAUGUAUAAUAUGUAGCUGUUCUAAACAUUAAGCACUGCCCUCACUUUGCUAAGGCAAAAGGUAGGUUGAAGGUGAAAACCCACUGAUUUCUGUUACCAUGGAAGCUGUCAGUUGUGCAACAUGAACAGCUUUGAGCACUCUCCUGUUCCUAGUCAGUGAGUCAAGAGAUUAACAUGCAGAGGCUGAGAAACAGAAACCUACAUUUUCAUUGCAGCACUCCCUCAGGUACAAUACUCCAUCAGGAGUGCUUCUGCACUCCUUGUCACAUCGGUCAUGUAGCCCUUAUAAAUGACAAAAACAUCAACAUUUGACAGGUAGCAAGGAAGUAUGUCUCUCUGUAUUUCUGAGUAUUUCAAUGUCUCUUUUAUAUUUUUCUGUAUAUAGUGAAUUUUAUCUCACUCUUUCUGGUUUAUAUUCACUGUGACAAGAACGAAUCUCAGCAAUGUGCAGGCAAGGCAGAGGGACUAUGUUCCAAAGAAAGAUGUUUCCGAAAGUGGGUUUGAGCUUCGCUGCAUGCAACAGAGAGGGAAAGUUUCUGUCAGCUACCACAAGUGCCUUCACCAUCAUGUUGCUGCCACACUGCUCACUCUCACACUGCCUUUCUUCUGUGACACAUACCCACUCCUGAGGGGGCUGCAGCCCCCAAGCUGAGAUGUGUACUGCUGGCAGACGUGUCAGAUGUGCUCACCUUCCUUGGAGAGAGCAGCUGCUCCUGAGCCUGCACACCUCCC
Molecule: long non-coding RNA, 2011 nt
Organism: Pseudopipra pipra
Lineage: Eukaryota; Metazoa; Chordata; Aves; Passeriformes; Pipridae
Exons: 3
Source: RefSeq, a predicted model, not a curated record